Molecule: ribosomal RNA, 490 nt
Filed under: uncultured bacterium
Lineage: Bacteria
Description: partial 16S ribosomal RNA
Rfam family: Bacterial small subunit ribosomal RNA
Source: RNAcentral
GAUGAACGCUAGCUACAGGCUUAACACAUGCAAGUCGCGGGGCAGCAUGGGGGUUGCUUGCAAUCCCCGAUGGCGACCGGCGCACGGGUGAGUAGCGCGUAUCCAACCUGCCCUUCACCACGGGAUAACCCGGCGAAAGUCGGACUAAUACCGUAUGUUGUCCAUUGACGGCAUCCGAUUUGGACGAAAGGUUUGGCGGUGAAGGAUGGGGAUGCGUCCGAUUAGCUGGACGGCGGGGUGACGGCCCACCGUGGCGACGAUCGGUAGGGGUUCUGAGAGGAAGGUCCCCCACACUGGAACUGAGACACGGUCCAGACUCCUACGGGAGGCAGCAGUGAGGAAUAUUGGUCAAUGGGCGUAAGCCUGAACCAGCCAAGUAGCGUGCAGGAUGACGGCCCUAUGGGUUGUAAACUGCUUUUAUGCGGGGAUAAAGUGGCCCACGUGUGGGUUUUUGCAGGUACCGCAUGAAUAAGGACCGGCUAAUUCCGUG